Molecule: ribosomal RNA, 468 nt
Filed under: uncultured bacterium
Lineage: Bacteria
Description: partial 16S ribosomal RNA
Rfam family: Bacterial small subunit ribosomal RNA
Source: RNAcentral
GACGAACGCUGGCGGCGUGCUUAACACAUGCAAGUCGAACGGAAAGGCCCUGCUUUUGUGGGGUGCUCGAGUGGCGAACGGGUGAGUAACACGUGAGUAACCUGCCCUUGACUUUGGGAUAACUUCAGGAAACUGGGGCUAAUACCGGAUAGGAGCUCCUGCUGCAUGGUGGGGGUUGGAAAGUUUCGGCGGUUGGGGAUGGACUCGCGGCUUAUCAGCUUGUUGGUGGGGUAGUGGCUUACCAAGGCUUUGACGGGUAGCCGGCCUGAGAGGGGGACCGGCCACAUUGGGACUGAGAUACGGCCCAGACUACUACGGGAGGCAGCAGUGGGGAAUAUUGCACAAUGGGAGGAAGCCUGAUGCAGCAACGCCGCGUGCGGGAUGACGGCCUUCGGGUUGUAAACCGCUUUCGCCUGUGACGAAGCGUGAGUGACGGUAAUGGGUAAAGAAGCACCGGCUAACUACGUG